UACGUAGGGUGCAAGCGUUGUCCGGAAUUAUUGGGCGUAAAGAGCGUGUAGGCGGCCUGAAAGGUCAGCUGUGAAAACUCGAGGCUUAACCUCGAGACGUCGGUUGAAACCAUCUGGCUAGAGUCCGGAAGAGGAGUGUGGAAUUCCCGGUGUAGCGGUGAAAUGCGCAGAUAUCGGGAAGAACACCCGUGGCGAAGGCGGCACUCUGGGACGGUACUGACGCUGAGACGCGAAAGCGUGGGGAGCGAACAGG
This 253-nucleotide ribosomal RNA is filed under the name uncultured bacterium. RNAcentral describes it as "partial 16S ribosomal RNA". It matches the Rfam family "Bacterial small subunit ribosomal RNA", at positions 524 to 776 of the family's 1533-position model. The record is from RNAcentral.